This 253-nucleotide ribosomal RNA is filed under the name uncultured bacterium. RNAcentral's name for it is "partial 16S ribosomal RNA". It matches the Rfam family "Bacterial small subunit ribosomal RNA", at positions 524 to 776 of the family's 1533-position model. The record is from RNAcentral.
UACGGGGGGGGCAAGCGUUGUUCGGAAUUACUGGGCGUAAAGGGCUCGUAGGCGGCCAACUAAGUCGGACGUGAAAUCCCCAGGCUCAACUUGGGAACUGCAUCCGAUACUGGAUGGCUUGAAUUCGGGAGAGGGAUGCAGAAUUCCAGGUGUAGCGGUGAAAUGCGUAGAUAUCUGGAGGAAUACCGGUGGCGAAGGCGGCAUCCUGGACCGACAUUGACGCUGAACGGCGAAAGCUAGGGGAGCAAACGGG